This 595-nucleotide ribosomal RNA is filed under the name uncultured Bacteroidota bacterium. Its description in RNAcentral is "bacterial SSU rRNA". It matches the Rfam family "Bacterial small subunit ribosomal RNA", at positions 122 to 715 of the family's 1533-position model. Lineage: Bacteria; Pseudomonadati; Bacteroidota. The record is from RNAcentral.
CAACCUGCCCAUCACUUGGGAAUAACCUUGCGAAAGUAAGACUAAUGCCCAAUGGUAUUUAUANAAGGCAUCCGAAAUGAAUUAAAGAUUUAUCGGUGAUGGAUGGGGAUGCGUCUGAUUAGCUUGUUGGCGGGGUAACGGCCCACCAAGGCGACGAUCAGUAGGGGUUCUGAGAGGAAGGUCCCCCACAUUGGAACUGAGACACGGUCCAAACUCCUACGGGAGGCAGCAGUGAGGAAUAUUGGUCAAUGGGCGAGAGCCUGAACCAGCCAAGUAGCGUGCAGGAUGACGGCCCUAUGGGUUGUAAACUGCUUUUAUAGGGGAAUAAAGUGAGCCACGUGUGGUUUUUUGCAUGUACCCUAUGAAUAAGGACCGGCUAAUUCCGUGCCAGCAGCCGCGGUAAUACGGAAGGUCCGGGCGUUAUCCGGAUUUAUUGGGUUUAAAGGGAGCGUAGGCCGGAGAUUAAGCGUGUUGUGAAAUGUAGAUGCUCAACAUCUGAACUGCAGCGCGAACUGGUUUCCUUGAGUACGCAUAAAGUGGGCGGAAUUCGUGGUGUAGCGGUGAAAUGCUUAGAUAUCACGAAGAACUCCGAUUG